RNAcentral lists this ribosomal RNA (425 nucleotides) under uncultured bacterium. Its description in RNAcentral is "partial 16S ribosomal RNA". It matches the Rfam family "Bacterial small subunit ribosomal RNA", at positions 354 to 796 of the family's 1533-position model. The record is from RNAcentral.
GUUAGGAAUAUUGGACAAUGGGCGCAAGCCUGAUCCAGUCAUGCCGCGUGAGUGAUGAAGGCCUUCGGGUUGUAAAGCUCUUUAGCCGAUGAUUAUAAUGACUGUAGUCGGAAAAUAAGCCCCGGCUAACUUCGUGCCAGCAGCCGCGGUAAUACGAAGGGGGCGAGCGUUAUUCGGAAUCACUGGGCGUAAAGCGUGCGUAGGCGGCUUUGCAAGUUGGGAGUGAAAGCCCAGGGCUCAACCCUGGAAUUGCUCUCAAAACUGCAAGGCUCGAAUUCGGGAGAGGAUAGCGGAAUUGUCAGUGUAGCAGUGAAAUGCGUAGAUAUUGACAGGAACACCAGUGGCGUAAGCGGCUAUCUGGACCGAUAUUGACGCUGAGGCACGAAAGCGUGGGGAUCAAACAGGAUUAGAUACCCCGGUAGUCC